UAUAAUUUACUUGAAUUUGACAACCCUACUUGGAUACCGGUGGUAAUUCUAGCGCUAAUACAUGCACCAAAGCUCCGACCGCGAGGGAAGAGCGCAUUUAUUAGAACAAAACCACACGGCUUCGGCCGUCCAAUGUUGACUCAGAAUAACUAAGCUGAUCGCAUGGUCUUGCACCGGCGACGUUUCUUUCAAGUAUCUGCCUUAUCAACUUUCGAUGGUAGUGUAUCUGACUACCAUGGUGAUGACGGGUAAUGGAGGAUAAGGGUUCGACUCCGGAGAAGGGGCCUGAGAAAUGGCCACUACGUCUAAGGAUGGCAGCAGGCGCGCAAAUUACCCACUCCCAGUACGAGGAGGUAGUGACGAGAAAUAACAAGACCGUUCUCACAAGAGGCCGGUCAUUGGAAUGGGUACAAUUUAAACCCUUUAACGAGUAUCUAUGAGAGGGCAAGUCUGGUGCCAGCAGCCGCGGUAAUUCCAGCUCUCAAAAUGCAUAGAAUUAUUGCUGCGGUUAAAAAGCUCGUAGUUGGAUCUGUGCUGGCCUCCCGGUCCACCUCCGGGUGCGCACUGGGCAGGUUGGCUUUUCUGUCGUUUACGCGGAUGUUCCUAACGGGGCAACCGCAUCGCGACAAUUUUACCUUGAACAAAUCAGAGUGCUCAAAACAGGCGUUUCGCUUGAAUGUUCGUGCAUGGAAUAAUAGAAGAGGAUUUCGGUUCUAUUUUAUUGGUUUUAUAGACUGAGAUAAUGGUUAACAGAGACAAACGGGGGCAUUCGUAUUGCUGCGUGAGAGGUGAAAUUCUUGGACCGUAGCAAGACGGACUACAGCGAAAGCAUUUGCCAAGAAUGUCUUCAUUAAUCAAGAACGAAAGUCAGAGGUUCGAA
RNAcentral lists this ribosomal RNA (880 nucleotides) under Nematoda environmental sample. RNAcentral describes it as "SSU rRNA". It matches the Rfam family "Eukaryotic small subunit ribosomal RNA", at positions 111 to 1002 of the family's 1831-position model. The record is from RNAcentral. Lineage: Eukaryota; Metazoa; Nematoda.